AGUGCUUCAACUUUAUACCAUCGCUCAUCACUACGGUAACAAUACUUUACAAUAACUAGCUUUUAUUUCCAACAUAUUGAUCCAACCAAACCACCAAUUCACCUAUCCAUUGAUCCGUUCAAUGAUUGAUUAAUUAAACAUAUUCAAUAAGUAUUUUUACACUUCAAAUACUGUAAUAAUUUAUUGUUUGUAAUUUACCAAAUGUUUGUAGGCCGACUGUAUGUUGUGGAUUGUUUGUAAAUUAUAUAAAUUCUACUGUGCAGCAUAAUAAAGUAUGUAUUAUUAUUAAUAAUAUUAAAUCAAAUAUCACAUAUCAAUGAAGUAGUAUUUUACAUCAGAUAUCACCUAGAGACAUCGGAUACUUUAAUAGUGAGAAUAUAUUACAUAAUAAUAUAAAAUAAAUCACUUUCUAAACAACAAAUAAUAACAAUAGUUUAUUUUGGGGCUUUUUAAAGGUUAUUCAUAAUGGGGCUUUUAAAGGUUAUUCAUAAUAGGGCUUUUAAAGGUUAUACAUCAUGGGGCUUUUAAAGGUUAUUUAUCAUGGGGCUUUUAAAGGUUAUACAUCAUGGGGCUUUUAAAGGUUAUUCAUAAUAGGGCUUUUAGAGGUUAUACAUCAUGGGGCUUUUAAAGGUUAUUCAUAAUGGGGCUUUUAAAGGUUAUUUAUCAUGGGGCUUUUAAAGGUUAUACAUCAUGGGGCUUUUAAAGGUUAUUUAUCAUGGGGCUUUUAAAGGUUAUACAUCAUGGGGCUUUUAAAGGUUAUUUAUCAUGGGGCUUUUAAAGGUUAUUUAUCAUGGGGCUUUUAAAUGUUAUUUAUCAUGGGGCUUUUAAAGGUUAUUUAUCAUGGGGCUUUUAAAGGUUAUACAUAAUGGGGCUUUUAAAGGUUAUUUAU
This is a long non-coding RNA of Oncorhynchus tshawytscha (Chinook salmon), 889 nucleotides long. The record is from Ensembl. NCBI's taxonomy places the organism in Eukaryota, Metazoa, Chordata, Actinopteri, Salmoniformes, Salmonidae.